AGGUGGGUAGGCUGGAGGCCCCCAGAGCUGGGGGCUUGGGAUGUUCUGACCCUGAAAGCCUGGACAGAACAAGAGUGGGAGAGCAAGGCUCCCUGCAGUCCCGGGGCCCUAAGCCCACAGUGCUCUGGGCUGUGUGCAGAGCUAGCCCUCCAGGCCACCUAUAAUUACCUUUCAGCAGAGCUCUGAAGAACUGGGCAGGAGGAGCAAUUUUCAGGUUUUAUUUUGAUUCCCAGACAGUGCCCCCGGGCAACCUCAUGCCAGCUGGCUGCUACCAGAUGGAGACAAAAGUUGAUUUCUUUGGGGAAGAAGUCCUUCCUCAAAUGAGGCUGACCUUUGAGCACAGGGUUCCAGGUUCAUAAUUCCAUGGCCUGCACAGACCCCCUCUCCCCAGGUCCCAGGGGCAGAAUCUGCUCUGGAGAACACAGAGGAGCCAGGAGAGCUAGUGAGAAGCACUGUGGGGCCUGUAAGACACAGCAUGGAGCAGCCACACAGAAGUUAUGCAGAAAGAGACUGGCCAGACUUCCGCUGAGGUUGUAUGGAGCAAGGGCAGCUCUGAGCCUGAGCUGUCUCUGGAGGCCACAUAUCCUUGCUCGCUUGCACCGAGCCCUCCUCUUGUGAUUGGACCCUGGACCCCAGCAAGAACACAUGCACAUUGGAACUACCUAUGCUGCCGGACAGCUGCUGUUUCACAACCGCACUGAAUUCAGCACACGGAAGCACCCACGAAGUGCUGGGCAGUUCAGGCGGCAGCUGAGGGCUCUGCCUGCUCUCGGUGAAGCCCAUCGCCCAGAUGGAAAGCAGGUGGCGCUGACUGCUGUUGCCCCUCAGACCCAGAGGACUGAGCCGCGCAGCGAGUUCUCCGCCAGGACCCCUCCCCCAGCCUCCAGCUCGGGCUGCGCCUGGGAGACCUCUUGUGAUCUCUGGACCACGACCCGCUUCCAGCUUCAGGAUUCCAGUCCGAUUUCCCAGCAGUGCACCCCUGAGGGAGCUGGCAGCCCGAGCCCAGAGUCAGGGACAAAGGGCUGGGUGGGCCCCUCUGCUCUUCGGGGUGCAGAUGUGGAAAUGAAACGGGGCUUCUAUGGGCUGCAGAACUGGCCCCACUAUGGCAUCCAUCUUUUGUCCAAAGAAGGGGCUGGGGACCCCCUAUAA
This 1149-nucleotide long non-coding RNA is filed under the name Fukomys damarensis (Damara mole-rat). RNAcentral describes it as "lncRNA (ENSFDAG00000024246.1)". Lineage: Eukaryota; Metazoa; Chordata; Mammalia; Rodentia; Bathyergidae. The record is from RNAcentral.